Molecule: non-coding RNA, 21 nt
Organism: Caenorhabditis elegans
Lineage: Eukaryota; Metazoa; Nematoda; Chromadorea; Rhabditida; Rhabditidae
Source: Ensembl
UGAUUAAUGAUCAUGAUAAAA